AUCAGCAGCAGUGCCCAUCAUAGAGUAUACUUUGCCACGACACAAGCUCUGAGGAGAGACAAGCCCCCACCACAAGAAACAGCAACUGUGUCCAGGAGUAUGUAAGAGGAGGGAUGAUGAACACAUCUGCACUUUGGAAAGAAUUACAGUGGUGAUGUGAAGACACAGUUGGAAAGCAGCAAAAGUAGGAGGGAAAGAAAUUGGCAUCUCGAAGUAACUUUAGAAGAACAGAAAUCAACUUGGCUGAAUUUCUUGGUUGAAAUCUAUUAUUUCUGAGAUCUUCUACCCUAGUUGCAGCUCCACUUGCUACUACUACUACCAAGACAGUCUUUGGUGCUUGCCAUGAAGUCUCCUACUCCACUAUCCAACUCCUUAAUUCCUCAAGCUUUGAGAAUUUUAGAGAUUUAUACUGGAAUUUAGGGACUUAGCCAUGAAGUUUUAGAUGUAUUUACGCAUAUAAAGAGAGAUAACUGAAAAUCCACCCAAGGUUUGUGCUCCUCCUGUAUAGUACAGAGUUGUUUCUGAAAAGUUGUUUCCCAAUCAGGGCCCAGCUCUGGUGUGAUCCUGUGACUGAGUUCUGGCCAAUGGAGUGGGAGCAGAAAACAAUUCAUGCUACUUUCAGCCAUAAGAACUUCCUUUAGAACCUUCAUUUCUCUUCUUCAAGCUGACCUUGGGAGCGAAGUGUUGAAGAUGGCAGAGCCUCUAUCAUUCUAGAUCUUUGAAGGACUCCAUGGAGCACACUCCUAUUUCCUUCAACCCCCUCUUCUAUCACAUUGUGAUGGGGUAUUACAGGAGUGGGAAAUAAGUCUCUCUUCUGGUAAGCUCUUGAAAUUUUAGAGUGUAUCUGGUAAAAUAGAAAUCAUUACCUUAACU
This is a long non-coding RNA of Pan troglodytes (chimpanzee), 873 nucleotides long. RefSeq lists it as uncharacterized. NCBI's taxonomy places the organism in Eukaryota, Metazoa, Chordata, Mammalia, Primates, Hominidae. The transcript has 3 exons. The record is from RefSeq and is a predicted model, not a curated record.